Molecule: long non-coding RNA, 1593 nt
Filed under: Nicotiana benthamiana
Lineage: Eukaryota; Viridiplantae; Streptophyta; Magnoliopsida; Solanales; Solanaceae
Description: long non-coding RNA (NBEN_LNC009733)
Source: RNAcentral
UCGUUAUCGCCUGAUACAACUAUAGAGAAUAAACCACCCACAGAACAUGUACAAUAUUCAACCACCAUAGAAUCCGAACCUACCAUGCAGGAUUCUAAUCCAACCACCCCUACCACAAAAUCAUCAACCUCUAUCAUGGGUGGAGAUGGGUUUGGUAAGACACGCCAUUCUUUUCAACAUCAUGCUGGAGGGCAGAAAAAGGAUGAUCGUGCUAUAAAAAACUCACUACCUUUCCCAACUAAUUUUAGAGAGUGUUCGUCUAGCGAUGAACAACUACAUAAAUCAAAUCUGGAUAAACAAUGUACUUCAACCAGUACCUCUAAAUAUGUCUUCCAAUCUCACACAUGUCAUAAGGGGGAACAGAAUCUUCCACCUUAUUUUGUCCCUAUUUAGAGCACAACUCCACUAAUAGAGUUACAUUUCUUCACACCAGAAUUAGUGACAAACAUGAACCCCGUGUUCACUCCUUGGAAUGCAAAACCAGACCUACCCCAAGGUUUCCAUGCACAGAGCACACAACACAUACAUAAUCAGGUUCCUCCACAGCAACCCGCACAUCAAAAUCCAGUACAAAAUGAAUCAACUAAUGAAAAAAGAGGUAGAUCAUGUCAACUUAAUACCAGAAAACAUAAUAGAGAUUCAAACCUCGACGAAAUAAAGGAAUUUCUAUUCAUAUGCAAGAGCAAAGCCAAAUCCUUUACUGUCCAAUGGCACUUUACAAAUGCACAAUGGAUAUAAAGCCUCCAGCACACCCAACUGUAGGUCAGCAUGCAAUGAUUCUAGUACCCAUUUAGAGGAGGAAUACCAUACUCGCAAUAAGGGCAAGGGAGAAUGAAGACAUACACAACCACAACCUCAACAUGAAUAGAGCUACUACCUUCAUAAUAUAAAAUAUUCAUGGAGGAAACAAUACAGCUUUUAGGCUAAAUUUAAGAGAUUUGGUAGAUACGCACCACCCCAGUAUGGUCACCCUUUUGGAGAUCAAAAUGGAUAGUUAUGUUCCUCUUCUUAAUCCAUUUGGGUUCUCAGAUAUGAUAGAAAUACCUGCAGACAGGCAAUCAUGUGGUAUGAUCAUCUUGUGGGAUCACACUAUUGUUAAUGUGCACAGUUUUGCGCGUAAGGUAAUUUCUACAAAGAAAAUCUUGAUUAUUUACCUCUAUUUAUGACAGUACAGAUAAAGCUCUAAGAAAUAAAAUAUGGCAAAAUCUUAUAGAACAACAUGCAUCCUACACAAGUCUGUGGCUUGUGGAAGGAGAUUUUGACGACAUACUAACUGAAAACGAAAAAAUUGGUGGUAGAACUAUUAAUAAAAAACAUACAAAGCUUCUGUGGAAUUGUAUUAACAAUUGCAACCUCGUAGACCUAGGGUUUAAAGGUUGCAAAUUUACUUGGUCUAAACUUAGGAAGAAAAAUAAUGGUCUAAUCACGGAAAGACUUGACAAGGUCAUCGCCAAUGAGGAAUGGAAUAGUUUAUUCCAUAAGGCCAUUGUAACGCAUCUUCCUAAAACACACUCCGGACAUAAUCCCCUCCUAAUUAAAAUUAUUCCCAAAAAAAUAUUGUAGUGGCUAAAAACCUUUUAGGCUAGAAACAUA